Molecule: non-coding RNA, 569 nt
Organism: Aegilops tauschii subsp. strangulata
Lineage: Eukaryota; Viridiplantae; Streptophyta; Magnoliopsida; Poales; Poaceae
Source: RefSeq, a predicted model, not a curated record
AAAUUUUAAUUAGGCCAGUUAAUAGGUACUAUAUUAUUGCUUGAUCUUUUCUACACCGGAUCCCCAUCUCUCCAUCUAUACAAGCCCUGUGUUGAUAGAUCAAUCGUGUGUGUCUUUUCCCUAGCAUUUUCAAACUGCAUUAGAAGAGGAUGGACAGGUACACGGUUCGCAUCUACGGUCUAGCCUUGCUACUGUCUCUCCAUCUCCUAUGCUCCGCACCUACUGCGCAAUGUCGGAUCAUCGAAGAAGACGUGGAUGACGAGAAGAUCAAUUUCCCGCAUGGGCUUUGUGUCAAUGGUAAACCGUGCAAAGAUGGAUGGCUUUGCUUGUGUUGCCUUGCGAAUCUAGAGUGCUACCCGUCCAUGGAUGCGUGAAGAAAGACUGUCUGAAACCCUCUCCUGCUCAGAUGGUGUCGAUGACAAUGACCCGUUCUCCUUUACCUGCCCCCUCUCCCGCCUCUUCAUUAGGUUUAAUUUGAAUUACCUAUAUUUUGCCCGGGACCUAAUGGAUAUUGUGUGAAAAAAUAAUUUGGAAUAGAAGUAUCUCAUACAUUAGUUGUUGCAGUUUGA